UGUUGUUUUUCUGAAAAUCAAUUUAAGAACUGUUCAUUUUUAGUUGUUAAGACCUUAUCGGCUUACUGCUAUUUUUUGGAUUUCUCUUGAAUGCACUUUUCAGUCAACAAGUCAACAUCAAUUUCUUUUGUUGUAAAACGGUAAAAGGAAGGUGGCUUUAUCUUCGGAUGAAGUGUUUAUAGCCUUUUACUUCUGCAAUCGGAGAGAUUGAGGUCUGCAGCGUAGAUCCUUCGGGGUUAGAUACUUCUAUGCUAAGCUAUAGUCCUAUAUAGACAACUUGUUGACUAUGUUCGAUCCUGUAACUUACUCGUAGAUACUAUUUUACCUAC
RNAcentral lists this ribosomal RNA (329 nucleotides) under Neocallimastigales sp. RNAcentral describes it as "partial large subunit ribosomal RNA". Lineage: Eukaryota; Fungi; Neocallimastigomycota; Neocallimastigomycetes; Neocallimastigales. The record is from RNAcentral.